UUAAGCGACUAAGCGUACACGGUGGAUGCCCUGGCAGUCAGAGGCGAUGAAGGACGUGCUAAUCUGCGAUAAGCGCCGGUAAGGUGAUAUGAACCGUUAUAACCGGCGAUUUCCGAAUGGGGAAACCCAGUGUGAUUCGUCACACUAUCAUUAACUGAAUCCAUAGGUUAAUGAGGCGAACCGGGGGAACUGAAACAUCUAAGUACCCCGAGGAAAAGAAAUCAACCGAGAUUCCCCCAGUAGCGGCGAGCGAACGGGGAGGAGCCCAGAGCCUGAAUCAGCAUGUGUGUUAGUGGAAGCGUCUGGAAAGGCGCGCGAUACAGGGUGACAGCCCCGUACACAAAAGCGCAUGUGCUGUGAGCUCGAUGAGUAGGGCGGGACACGUGGUAUCCUGUCUGAAUAUGGGGGGACCAUCCUCCAAGGCUAAAUACUCCUGACUGACCGAUAGUGAACCAGUACCGUGAGGGAAAGGCGAAAAGAACCCCGGCGAGGGGAGUGAAAAAGAACCUGAAACCGUGUACGUACAAGCAGUGGGAGCACCCUUUUGGGUGUGACUGCGUACCUUUUGUAUAAUGGGUCAGCGACUUAUAUUCUGUAGCAAGGUUAACCGUAUAGGGGAGCCGGAGGGAAACCGAGUCUUAAUUGGGCGUUAAGUUGCAGGGUAUAGACCCGAAACCCGGUGAUCUAGCCAUGGGCAGGUUGAAGGUUGGGUAACACUAACUGGAGGACCGAACCGACUAAUGUUGAAAAAUUAGCGGAUGACCUGUGGCUGGGGGUGAAAGGCCAAUCAAACCGGGAGAUAGCUGGUUCUCCCCGAAAGCUAUUUAGGUAGCGCCUCGUGAAUUCAUCUCCGGGGGUAGAGCACUGUUUCGGCUAGGGGGCCAUCCCGGCUUACCAACCCGAUGCAAACUGCGAAUACCGGAGAAUGUUAUCACGGGAGACACACGGCGGGUGCUAACGUCCGUCGUGAAGAGGGAAACAACCCAGACCGCCAGCUAAGGUCCCAAAGUCAUGGUUAAGUGGGAAACGAUGUGGGAAGGCCCAGACAGCCAGGAUGUUGGCUUAGAAGCAGCCAUCAUUUAAAGAAAGCGUAAUAGCUCACUGGUCGAGUCGGCCUGCGCGGAAGAUGUAACGGGGCUAAACCAUGCACCGAAGCUGCGGCAGCGACGCUUAUGCGUUGUUGGGUAGGGGAGCGUUCUGUAAGCCUGCGAAGGUGGCCUGUGAGGGUUGCUGGAGGUAUCAGAAGUGCGAAUGCUGACAUAAGUAACGAUAAAGCGGGUGAAAAGCCCGCUCGCCGGAAGACCAAGGGUUCCUGUCCAACGUUAAUCGGGGCAGGGUGAGUCGACCCCUAAGGCGAGGCCGAAAGGCGUAGUCGAUGGGAAACGGGUUAAUAUUCCCGUACUUGGUGUUACUGCGAAGGGGGGACGGAGAAGGCUAUGUUGGCCGGGCGACGGUUGUCCCGGUUUAAGCGUGUAGGUGUGUGUUCCAGGUAAAUCCGGUUCACUUUAACACUGAGGCGUGACGACGAGGCACUACGGUGCUGAAGCAACAAAUGCCCUGCUUCCAGGAAAAGCCUCUAAGCAUCAGGUAACAUCAAAUCGUACCCCAAACCGACACAGGUGGUCAGGUAGAGAAUACCAAGGCGCUUGAGAGAACUCGGGUGAAGGAACUAGGCAAAAUGGUGCCGUAACUUCGGGAGAAGGCACGCUGACACGUAGGUGAAGUGAUUUACUCACGGAGCUGAAGUCAGUCGAAGAUACCAGCUGGCUGCAACUGUUUAUUAAAAACACAGCACUGUGCAAACACGAAAGUGGACGUAUACGGUGUGACGCCUGCCCGGUGCCGGAAGGUUAAUUGAUGGGGUCAGCGCAAGCGAAGCUCCUGAUCGAAGCCCCGGUAAACGGCGGCCGUAACUAUAACGGUCCUAAGGUAGCGAAAUUCCUUGUCGGGUAAGUUCCGACCUGCACGAAUGGCGUAAUGAUGGCCAGGCUGUCUCCACCCGAGACUCAGUGAAAUUGAACUCGCUGUGAAGAUGCAGUGUACCCGCGGCAAGACGGAAAGACCCCGUGAACCUUUACUAUAGCUUGACACUGAACAUUGAGCCUUGAUGUGUAGGAUAGGUGGGAGGCUUUGAAGCGUGGACGCCAGUCUGCGUGGAGCCGACCUUGAAAUACCACCCUUUAAUGUUUGAUGUUCUAACGUGGACCCGUGAUCCGGGUUGCGGACAGUGUCUGGUGGGUAGUUUGACUGGGGCGGUCUCCUCCUAAAGAGUAACGGAGGAGCACGAAGGUUGGCUAAUCCUGGUCGGACAUCAGGAGGUUAGUGCAAUGGCAUAAGCCAGCUUGACUGCGAGCGUGACGGCGCGAGCAGGUGCGAAAGCAGGUCAUAGUGAUCCGGUGGUUCUGAAUGGAAGGGCCAUCGCUCAACGGAUAAAAGGUACUCCGGGGAUAACAGGCUGAUACCGCCCAAGAGUUCAUAUCGACGGCGGUGUUUGGCACCUCGAUGUCGGCUCAUCACAUCCUGGGGCUGAAGUAGGUCCCAAGGGUAUGGCUGUUCGCCAUUUAAAGUGGUACGCGAGCUGGGUUUAGAACGUCGUGAGACAGUUCGGUCCCUAUCUGCCGUGGGCGCUGGAGAACUGAGGGGGGCUGCUCCUAGUACGAGAGGACCGGAGUGGACGCAUCACUGGUGUUCGGGUUGUCAUGCCAAUGGCACUGCCCGGUAGCUAAAUGCGGAAGAGAUAAGUGCUGAAAGCAUCUAAGCACGAAACUUGCCCCGAGAUGAGUUCUCCCUGAGACUUAAAGUCUCCUGAAGGAACGUUGAAGACGACGACGUUGAUAGGCCGGGUGUGUAAGCGCAGCGAUGCGUUGAGCUAACCGGUACUAAUGAACCGUGAGGCUUAACCUU
Molecule: ribosomal RNA, 2904 nt
Filed under: Salmonella enterica subsp. enterica serovar Braenderup
Lineage: Bacteria; Pseudomonadati; Pseudomonadota; Gammaproteobacteria; Enterobacterales; Enterobacteriaceae
Description: bacterial LSU rRNA
Rfam family: Bacterial large subunit ribosomal RNA
Source: RNAcentral